CUGCUCUCCCAGAGGCCCAACCAGCAUCACUCAUGGCUCGGCUCUGGCCAGCGGCGGGUCCCUUUUGGAGCCAUCUGGAGCUGGCUCUGAUCUGACCUGGGGCAGCUGCUGGGCUCUGCUCACAGAGGCCACCCCUGCAGUCCCCCGCUACCAGAACCUUGCCAUGUAAACCAAAUAUAGUGGCUCUUGCAUGCUUUGUCUUCAAUAGUAACAUAGAAGUUAAUAGCUACUAUACACUACGUUCAUGCAAGGUGAUGCAGUUUGAUACCCUUCGAAGAAAAGCAAGGAGUCAUCUGAGUGGGGCACUUAACUGUGUUAUAGGCUUCUGGGAAAGACAAAUGCUUUGCUGAAUAGAAGCAGCGUAUCUUCACUUGCCUUUACCAUUCUCCUCUGUGACUGCUAUUGCACCUGUUGUCUGUAGUGGCAGCCUUUUUCAGCUGUUCUUAGGAGAGAAGGUUUUGUCCCAAGACCAUUAAGUGCCACUUUCUUACAUAAGACAUUGUAUCGUGGAGUCCUCAGCCAAGAUGUAAACUGAGCCUGUAUGUAUUCUAUGAAAGGAUUUUCAAAUUAUAUACUUCAGAAGUCAUGAAGUAAAUGUGAGUCCAUAAUGACAUGCUUUUGUGAACAAGAUAAGUAUCAUCUGAAAAAUAGUUAUCAUAUUUUUCUGUUUGUCAGGCUUGACUGCUCUAUUACACCAAUUUUGGGGAAGCAUGCCAAGAAAAAAGUGGACUGGUCGGAGAGAGUCCCAAGGAAAGCAGAUGGGUUUGUCAGGGAACAGGAAAGCACAGCCAAUGAAAAGAAAAUUGAAGGAAUGGGGCUUGUCCAAACGAAAAAGUUCUCAGAACGCUGGGUCUGCCAGAGGCUACCAACCAACCACUCAGGAGCUAACAACUGCCCUUCAGGAAAGUGUGUAGUGCACAAAGAUACACAAAAUAUUGUCAGCUCAAGGCUGUGCAGAAGACAAUCCACUGGGAGCAGAUCAUUCCUGGGCUAGUGCUAAUGAUGCAAAUUUUAGUCUUUAUAAGCUAGCAGGGGAUUUGUCUCUAGCAGUUUAAUUAUAACUGUCUCCGCCAGGUCUCUGAAGAUGACUGGAUUCAAGUCCAUAUUUUGAUAUCUUAUGGCACCAUUUUCAGUGGGCUGCUGUCUGUGGUCUCAGUACUCUAGAGAUCUUAAGAGUUAAAUUUUCUAAUGUGUUCUCCAUACACUGAGAAUUUAGAACAAAGUCUUUUACCAAACUGAUAAAUUUGGUAAUCAGUUGAUUGAGUGUCCACAUCCAAGACCAAGACAGUCUAACACAUAAAAUUUGCUGAAUACAUGCACUAGUACACAAAGCUAAGCAAUGAUGUAUGUACUUGUUAGCAAGAUCUCACUGUUGAUUGUGCAGUGGUCAAACACAACACUGGAUCUGCAAUUUUGCCAUUUGGUGUGAGAGACAGUGCUGGAAUGGAUAUUUUAAAAAUAAUGAGAGAGAAGAAAAGUGUGGGAAAAGAAAUGAUUGAGGGAAAAAAAACCACAGAAAACAAAAUCUUUAUACAGAAUUAUUCACUUCAUCAUCUAAAAUACUUCAAAAACUGCACUUGGAGGACAUUGUAUAUUUCUGUCUCUUUUUACUAACGAGUGAUGAAGAAGGGGUUUCUAAAGAGCAUGCUAGAAAUGUAUGAGGUAACACACCUACCAGUGAUCCAAAUGCCUCAGCAAAUGCCUACUAUGUUAAGAUAUGAUUUAUUAAAGCUUUUUAAUAAAUAUUAUAGUUAUUGGUCUCUUUGAAUUAUU
Anser cygnoides (Swan goose) is the source of this 1773-nucleotide long non-coding RNA. NCBI's taxonomy places the organism in Eukaryota, Metazoa, Chordata, Aves, Anseriformes, Anatidae. The record is from Ensembl.